CGCGAAUCAAACUACUUCUUGGAUGCCAUAGCCACAAUUGCGAAAGCAAUGCGAUGGAGUUGCGAGAAGCAGGAUACCGAAUACAGCGUGGAGAAGGAGAAGCUUCUGAUAUGUGAGAAGAAACUUUGGUACUCUAAGAAAAUCGAGCAGGAAUGAGCAAGUUGGGGUAAAAAUGAUAAGGAUAAUCCAAUUAUAGAAAUAUUAUAAAGACAUUCCCUGAUUUUUUUUACAGAGAAUAGAAAUUGCAAUUCUGCUUGUGCCUCCUUGAAUCCUUUAUAUCGGAAAUUAGUUUAUGUUAUUUCCUGUUUCAUGUUUUUAUUAAUGGAUAGCAAGAGAAAAGGUGAAAUAUGUUACAAAUGGAAGACUUA
Molecule: unclassified non-coding RNA, 368 nt
Filed under: Hevea brasiliensis (rubber tree)
Lineage: Eukaryota; Viridiplantae; Streptophyta; Magnoliopsida; Malpighiales; Euphorbiaceae
Source: RNAcentral